ACGGUGAUCGUCUAGUGGUUUAGGAUUCACCCUUCCCAUUCCUAGGUGGUCAGGGUGUGACACGGGUUCGAACCCCGUUCGCCGUA
Molecule: transfer RNA, 86 nt
Rfam family: tRNA
About the family: Transfer RNA (tRNA) molecules are approximately 80 nucleotides in length. Their secondary structure includes four short double-helical elements and three loops (D, anti-codon, and T loops).
Source: Rfam